RNAcentral lists this ribosomal RNA (253 nucleotides) under uncultured bacterium. RNAcentral's name for it is "partial 16S ribosomal RNA". It matches the Rfam family "Bacterial small subunit ribosomal RNA", at positions 524 to 776 of the family's 1533-position model. The record is from RNAcentral.
UACAGAGGGUGCUAGCGUUAAUCGGAAUUACUGGGCGUAAAGGGUGUGUAGGUGGUUAUAUAAGUUAGAUGUGAAAUCCCCGGGCUCAACCUGGGAACUGCGUUUAAGACUGUGUAGCUAGAGUACUGUAGAGGAUAGUGGAAUUUCCAGUGUAGCGGUGAAAUGCGUAGAUAUUGGAAGGAACACCAGUGGCGAAGGCGACUAUCUGGACAGAUACUGACACUGAGACACGAAAGCGUGGGGAGCAAACAGG